Molecule: ribosomal RNA, 482 nt
Filed under: uncultured bacterium
Lineage: Bacteria
Description: partial 16S ribosomal RNA
Rfam family: Bacterial small subunit ribosomal RNA
Source: RNAcentral
AUUGAACGCUGGCGGCAUGCUUUACACAUGCAAGUCGAACGGUAACAGGCCGCGAGGUGCUGACGAGUGGCGAACGGGUGAGUAAUGCAUAGGAACGUGCCCAGUCGCGGUGGAUAACUACUCGAAAGAGUAGCUAAUACCGCAUACGAUCUAUGGAUGAAAGCGGGGGACUGUAAGGCUUAGCGCGAUUGGAGCGGCCGAUGUCAGAUUAGGUAGUUGGUGGGGUAAAGGCUCACCAAGCCAACGAUCUGUAGCUGGUCUGAGAGGACGACCAGCCACACUGGGACUGAGACACGGCCCAGACUCCUACGGGAGGCAGCAGUAGGGAAUUUUGGACAAUGGGCGCAAGCCUGAUCCAGCAAUGCCGCGUGCAGGAAGAAGGCCUUCGGGUUGUAAACUGCUUUUGUACGGAACGAAACGGCUCUGGUUAAUACCCGGAGCUAAUGACGGUACCGAAAGAAUAAGCACCGGCUAACUACGUG